GACAGAGGGUGCGAACGUUGUUCGGAAUUACUGGGCGUAAAGCGCGUGUAGGCUGUUCGGAAAGUCGGGUGUGAAAGCCCUGGGCUCAACCUAGGAAGUGCACUCGAAACUCCCGAACUGGAGUCCCGGAGAGGAAGGUGGAAUUCUCGGUGUAGAGGUGAAAUUCGUAGAUAUCGGGAGGAACACCGGUGGCGAAGGCGGCGACCUGGGUAGAUACUGACGCUGAGACGCGAAAGCGUGGGGAGCGAACAGG
This 253-nucleotide ribosomal RNA is filed under the name uncultured bacterium. RNAcentral describes it as "partial 16S ribosomal RNA". It matches the Rfam family "Bacterial small subunit ribosomal RNA", at positions 524 to 776 of the family's 1533-position model. The record is from RNAcentral.